Vanrija pseudolonga is the source of this 72-nucleotide non-coding RNA. The record is from the annotation of a RefSeq genome assembly. Lineage: Eukaryota; Fungi; Basidiomycota; Tremellomycetes; Trichosporonales; Trichosporonaceae.
ACACUCAUAGUCUAGUGGUUAGGAUGUCUCUCUUCCAAAGAGACGGCCCGUGUUCGAAUCACGGUGGGUGUA